UACGGAGGGUGCGAGCGUUGUCCGGAAUCACUGGGCGUAAAGGGCGCGUAGGCGGUUUGUACAGUCAGACGUGAAAUUCCUGGGCUCAACCUGGGGGCUGCGUUUGAUACGUGCAGACUUGAGUUCGGAAGAGGGUCGUGGAAUUCCCAGUGUAGAGGUGAAAUUCGUAGAUAUUGGGAAGAACACCGGUGGCGAAGGCGGCGACCUGGUCCGAUACUGACGCUGAGGCGCGAAAGCGUGGGGAGCAAACAGG
Molecule: ribosomal RNA, 253 nt
Filed under: uncultured bacterium
Lineage: Bacteria
Description: partial 16S ribosomal RNA
Rfam family: Bacterial small subunit ribosomal RNA
Source: RNAcentral